AAGGAAUAUUGGACAAUGCCCGCAAGGGUGAUCCAGCCAUGCCGCGUGCAGGAAGACGGCCCUAUGGGUUGUAAACUGCUUUUACACCGGAGAAAACCCCCUUACGUGUAAGGGGCUGAUAGUAUGGUGAGAAUAAGCAUCGGCUAACUUCGUGCCAGCAGCCGCGGUAAGACGAAGGAUGCAAGCGUUAUCCGGAUUCAUUGGGUUUAAAGGGAGCGUAGGUGGCCUUAUAAGUCAGUGGUGAAAUCUCUGGGCUUAACCCAGAAAUUGCCAUUGAUACUGUAGGGCUUGAGUAUAGAUGCCGUUGGCGGAAUAUGACAUGUAGUGGUGAAAUACAUAGAGAUGUCAUAGAACACCGAUUGCGAAGGCAGCUAACGAAACUAUAACUGACACUGAGGCUCGAAAGUGUGGGGAUCAAA
This 419-nucleotide ribosomal RNA is filed under the name uncultured bacterium. RNAcentral's name for it is "bacterial SSU rRNA". It matches the Rfam family "Bacterial small subunit ribosomal RNA", at positions 356 to 772 of the family's 1533-position model. The record is from RNAcentral.